GGAAGAGCACGCGGGCUGGUGUCCGUCGCGGCCUUCAAAGCCGUUGAGCUGCUGUUGAAGUGGCUGGUGGGUUCGAUUCCUACCUCUUCCGCCA
This 94-nucleotide transfer RNA is filed under the name Pseudomonadales bacterium. RNAcentral describes it as "tRNA-Sec". It matches the Rfam family "Selenocysteine transfer RNA". The record is from RNAcentral. Lineage: Bacteria; Pseudomonadati; Pseudomonadota; Gammaproteobacteria; Pseudomonadales.